This 490-nucleotide ribosomal RNA is filed under the name uncultured bacterium. Its description in RNAcentral is "partial 16S ribosomal RNA". It matches the Rfam family "Bacterial small subunit ribosomal RNA", at positions 30 to 507 of the family's 1533-position model. The record is from RNAcentral.
AUUGAACGCUGGCGGCAGGCCUAACACAUGCAAGUCGAACGGUAACAGGAAACAGCUUGCUGUUUCGCUGACGAGUGGCGGACGGGUGAGUAAUGUCUGGGAAACUGCCUGAUGGAGGGGGAUAACUACUGGAAACGGUAGCUAAUACCGCAUAACGUCGCAAGACCAAAGAGGGGGAGCUUCGGGCCUCUUGCCAUCGGAUGUGCCCAGAUGGGAUUAGCUAGUAGGUGGGGUAACGGCUCACCUAGGCGACGAUCCCUAGCUGGUCUGAGAGGAUGACCAGCCACACUGGAACUGAGACACGGUCCAGACUCCUACGGGAGGCAGCAGUGGGGAAUAUUGCACAAUGGGCGCAAGCCUGAUGCAGCCAUGCCGCGUGUAUGAAGAAGGCCUUCGGGUUGUAAAGUACUUUCAGCGGGGAGGAAGGGAGUAAAGUUAAUACCUUUACUCAUUGACGUUACCCGCAGAAGAAGCACCGGCUAACUCCGUG